Molecule: ribosomal RNA, 232 nt
Filed under: Anaerotignum lactatifermentans
Lineage: Bacteria; Bacillati; Bacillota; Clostridia; Lachnospirales; Anaerotignaceae
Description: partial 16S ribosomal RNA
Rfam family: Bacterial small subunit ribosomal RNA
Source: RNAcentral
GCAGGAUUUCUUUCUAUCUUAGUGGCGGACGGGUGAGUAACGUGUGGGCAACCUGCCCUGUACUGGGGAAUAAUCACUGGAAACGGUGACUAAUACCGCAUGUGGUCCUUGGGAGGCAUCUUCUGAGGAAGAAAGGAUUUAUUCGGUACAGGAUGGGCCCGCAUCUGAUUAGCUAGUUGGUGAGAUAACAGCCCACCAAGGCGACGAUCAGUAGCCGACCUGAGAGGGUGAU